RNAcentral lists this ribosomal RNA (2337 nucleotides) under Klebsiella pneumoniae. Its description in RNAcentral is "bacterial LSU rRNA". It matches the Rfam family "Bacterial large subunit ribosomal RNA", at positions 608 to 2925 of the family's 2925-position model. The record is from RNAcentral. Lineage: Bacteria; Pseudomonadati; Pseudomonadota; Gammaproteobacteria; Enterobacterales; Enterobacteriaceae.
UUGUAUAAUGGGUCAGCGACUUAUAUUCUGUAGCAAGGUUAACCGUAUAGGGGAGCCGCAGGGAAACCGAGUCUUAACUGGGCGUUAAGUUGCAGGGUAUAGACCCGAAACCCGGUGAUCUAGCCAUGGGCAGGUUGAAGGUUGGGUAACACUAACUGGAGGACCGAACCGACUAAUGUUGAAAAAUUAGCGGAUGACUUGUGGCUGGGGGUGAAAGGCCAAUCAAACCGGGAGAUAGCUGGUUCUCCCCGAAAGCUAUUUAGGUAGCGCCUCGUGAAUUCAUCUUCGGGGGUAGAGCACUGUUUCGGCUAGGGGGUCAUCCCGACUUACCAACCCGAUGCAAACUACGAAUACCGAAGAAUGUUAUCACGGGAGACACACGGCGGGUGCUAACGUCCGUCGUGAAGAGGGAAACAACCCAGACCGCCAGCUAAGGUCCCAAAGUCAUGGUUAAGUGGGAAACGAUGUGGGAAGGCACAGACAGCCAGGAUGUUGGCUUAGAAGCAGCCAUCAUUUAAAGAAAGCGUAAUAGCUCACUGGUCGAGUCGGCCUGCGCGGAAGAUGUAACGGGGCUAAACCAUGCACCGAAGCUGCGGCAGCGACACUAUGUGUUGUUGGGUAGGGGAGCGUUCUGUAAGCCUGCGAAGGUGUGCUGUGAGGCAUGCUGGAGGUAUCAGAAGUGCGAAUGCUGACAUAAGUAACGAUAAAGCGGGUGAAAAGCCCGCUCGCCGGAAGACCAAGGGUUCCUGUCCAACGUUAAUCGGGGCAGGGUGAGUCGACCCCUAAGGCGAGGCCGAAAGGCGUAGUCGAUGGGAAACAGGUUAAUAUUCCUGUACUUGGUGUUACUGCGAAGGGGGGACGGAGAAGGCUAUGUUAGCCGGGCGACGGUUGUCCCGGUUUAAGCAUGUAGGCUGGUUGUCCAGGCAAAUCCGGAUAAUCAAGGCUGAGGUGUGAUGACGAGGCACUACGGUGCUGAAGUAACAAAUGCCCUGCUUCCAGGAAAAGCCUCUAAGCAUCAGGUAACAUCAAAUCGUACCCCAAACCGACACAGGUGGUCAGGUAGAGAAUACCAAGGCGCUUGAGAGAACUCGGGUGAAGGAACUAGGCAAAAUGGUGCCGUAACUUCGGGAGAAGGCACGCUGGUGUGUAGGUGAAGCCCCUGCGGGUGGAGCUGAGACCAGUCGAAGAUACCAGCUGGCUGCAACUGUUUAUUAAAAACACAGCACUGUGCAAACACGAAAGUGGACGUAUACGGUGUGACGCCUGCCCGGUGCCGGAAGGUUAAUUGAUGGGGUUAUCCGUAAGGAGAAGCUCUUGAUCGAAGCCCCGGUAAACGGCGGCCGUAACUAUAACGGUCCUAAGGUAGCGAAAUUCCUUGUCGGGUAAGUUCCGACCUGCACGAAUGGCGUAAUGAUGGCCAGGCUGUCUCCACCCGAGACUCAGUGAAAUUGAACUCGCUGUGAAGAUGCAGUGUACCCGCGGCAAGACGGAAAGACCCCGUGAACCUUUACUAUAGCUUGACACUGAACAUUGAGCCUUGAUGUGUAGGAUAGGUGGGAGGCUUUGAAGCGUGGACGCCAGUCUGCGUGGAGCCAACCUUGAAAUACCACCCUUUAAUGUUUGAUGUUCUAACGUUGGCCCCUUAUCGGGGUUGCGGACAGUGUCUGGUGGGUAGUUUGACUGGGGCGGUCUCCUCCCAAAGCGUAACGGAGGAGCACGAAGGUUAGCUAAUCCUGGUCGGACAUCAGGAGGUUAGUGCAAUGGCAUAAGCUAGCUUGACUGCGAGCGUGACGGCGCGAGCAGGUGCGAAAGCAGGUCAUAGUGAUCCGGUGGUUCUGAAUGGAAGGGCCAUCGCUCAACGGAUAAAAGGUACUCCGGGGAUAACAGGCUGAUACCGCCCAAGAGUUCAUAUCGACGGCGGUGUUUGGCACCUCGAUGUCGGCUCAUCACAUCCUGGGGCUGAAGUAGGUCCCAAGGGUAUGGCUGUUCGCCAUUUAAAGUGGUACGCGAGCUGGGUUUAGAACGUCGUGAGACAGUUCGGUCCCUAUCUGCCGUGGGCGCUGGAGAAUUGAGGGGGGCUGCUCCUAGUACGAGAGGACCGGAGUGGACGCAUCACUGGUGUUCGGGUUGUCAUGCCAAUGGCACUGCCCGGUAGCUAAAUGCGGAAGAGAUAAGUGCUGAAAGCAUCUAAGCACGAAACUUGCCCCGAGAUGAGUUCUCCCUGAGACUUUAAGUCUCCUGAAGGAACGUUAAAGACGAUGACGUUGAUAGGCCGGGUGUGUAAGCGCAGCGAUGCGUUGAGCUAACCGGUACUAAUGAACCGUGAGGCUUAACCUU